UACGGGGGGGGCAAGCGUUGUUCGGAAUUACUGGGCGUAAAGGGCUCGUAGGCGGCCAACUAAGUCAGACGUGAAAUCCCUCGGCUUAACCGGGGAACUGCGUCUGAUACUGGAUGGCUUGAGUUCGGGAGAGGGAUGCGGAAUUCCAGGUGUAGCGGUGAAAUGCGUAGAUAUCUGGAGGAACACCGGUGGCGAAGGCGGCAUCCUGGACCACGACUGACACUGAAAAGCGAAAGCCAGGGGAGCAAACGGG
Molecule: ribosomal RNA, 253 nt
Filed under: uncultured bacterium
Lineage: Bacteria
Description: partial 16S ribosomal RNA
Rfam family: Bacterial small subunit ribosomal RNA
Source: RNAcentral